UACGGGGGGGGUAAGCGUUGUUCGGAAUUACUGGGCGUAACGGGCUCGUAGGCGGCCAACUAAGUCAGACGUGAAAUCCCUCAGCUUAACUGGGGAACUGCGUCUGAUACUGGAUGGCUUGGAUCCGGGAGAGGGAUGCGGAAUUCCAGGUGUAGCGGUGAAAUGCGUAGAUAUCUGGAGGAACACCGGUGGCGAAGGCGGCAUCCUGGACCGGUAUUGACGCUGAGGAGCGAAAGCCAGGGGAGCAAACGGG
RNAcentral lists this ribosomal RNA (253 nucleotides) under uncultured bacterium. RNAcentral describes it as "partial 16S ribosomal RNA". It matches the Rfam family "Bacterial small subunit ribosomal RNA", at positions 524 to 776 of the family's 1533-position model. The record is from RNAcentral.